This is a long non-coding RNA of Alnus glutinosa, 1900 nucleotides long. RefSeq lists it as uncharacterized. The transcript has 2 exons. NCBI's taxonomy places the organism in Eukaryota, Viridiplantae, Streptophyta, Magnoliopsida, Fagales, Betulaceae. The record is from RefSeq and is a predicted model, not a curated record.
CUUCCUCUUCCUUUCUUCUCCUUCCCUUUCUUUUCUUCCUCUUUCCUCUGUUCCGCACACCCCACUGAGUCGAAUCUCUCCUCUCCCCAUUUCUUCCUUCUCCUUUCUUCUGCAUGCUGUCACGCACACGGAGAUAUAGAGACCGAGAGAGGCGAUCGGAAGAUUGAGAGAAACUGAGACCCGUGAACCCUUGAGGCUUGUCGAACCCGAUCGGUGUGCUGGGUCGUCGCCGAUGUCCAGAGGAGUGACGAUGGUCGAACCAGGGGCGGAUUGCGGUCAACCUAGGCCCGAUUUCCGGUGGGUUGAUGGCUGGUCGCCUAUUGGUGUGAUUUCCGGUGAACCCAGUGAUAUUUUUCAGUGAUUUCUGAGGAAUUUCUAGUAGGCACGUGUCAUGAUUGGAGACUUCAACUUGUUCUCCAAUGUAGAGUUCAAGUAAAUAGAACAUGGGGAGUAUUCGAGUCAUGAGUCCUAUGCAGCCAAUGUGAGUAUUCUACUCACUGAGAAGUAUUAUUUUCAUAUAUGAUGAAUUGUAAAAUGAAUAGUGUUUUACAAACCUGAACCAACUGUAUGUUGAUUAUGAUUUGUUUUGGAUGCUUUGAGUACUUUUGAGUAUAUUGAAAUUAUGAUGAUGUUUUGAAAUAUGAAUAUAAUAUGCGAUUUUAGAGCGAGUAUAAGUUGGAAAUUUAAGUUAUGAAAAUUGUCUAAGAAAUGACAUGUAGAACUGUUUAUGUUUUAUAAAGAAAGCAUGUGUUAAGAGCAUGAUUAUGAAAUUAAAUGUAUAGUAUUUAAGCAUGAGCAUUGAGCAUGAAACAUGAACGCAUAAACAAACUAUUAGGGGGAUCUAUGCCCCAUAGGCAUGAACUAGAAGGGGGACAUACGCCCCAGGGGGAUAUACGCCCCAAACGCAUGAACUAGAAGGGGGACAUACGCCCCAGGGGGAUCUACGCCCCAAACGCAUGAACUAGUGGGGGAUAUAUGCCCUAGGGGGAUCUACGCCCCUUACGUAUGAACUAGUGGGUGGACAUACGCCCCAUCCGAACACACGCAUGAACUAUGGGGGGACCAACGCCCCAGGGGGAUUUACGCCCCAUACGAACGUACACAUGAAUUAGUAUUGGGAAAUUUACGCCCCUUAGGAAUAUACGCAUGAACUAGUAUUGGGGGACCAACGCCCCAUAGGAGCACAACCGAAACUUACAGAGCAUGUAUAGCAUUGUUUUCAUGAGUGUGAUGUUUUUAUACUAUGAGUAGUUUUGCUAGACGUAUUAGUAUGCAUAAGAGUCUCAAUGGAGAAGAACUUAUGUAUAUUUCUAUCGGAUGGUUGCAUGAUUUAAAUGCCAUUGUUUCCUAUAACGAAUCUUCUACGUAUAAUCUUAGCUGCCUAGUAUGUUAAAUGUUUUCUAUUAGUCGGUGUUUGCUAUAUCAGCUAUGUGAGUUUUCAAACAAAAGUUUAUAAGAUUGGUGGCUGUUAUAGUGCACGCAUGACUAGAAAAAGAAAAGUUGGUUCUUUGCGAAAACUCAGUGAAUAGUAUACUUCUGAGGUCUUAGUAUAUUUGUUUAUGCUAAGAUGGUGGGCUCAUGAUUCCACCUAUACGGAUGUGACAAACCCCCAAAACCGUAUAGAUGAUGUUCCUUUGGUUGCUCCGGUCGUAGUUGAUGGUGUUGUAGAAGUGUACUUGGGAUAUUAUGACUGAAGUUCUCCGUGACGGUCAUAAUUGUGGGACUAAGGGCGUCCUCUAUUUUAUAGGUUUGGUAUAUGUCUUGUGACGCUUGUGUCACAUAGUAUUUGUAAAGCCAUUAUUUUAUACGAUUAUUAUUUGGAUAAGCCUUAAACAGAUAGACAUUAUGGCUCUUUUUGUGUAGAUAUCAGUUUAUGUUUAUAGAUGUGACUUCUGCUGAU